GAAAACCUCGUUAGAGGUCUGUAGAGUGGCAAACGGGUGAGUAAUACGUGGGUGACCUGCCUUCGAGUGGGGGAUAACGUCUCGAAAGGGACGCUAAUACCGCAUGACAUCCUGCCUUUGAACAGGUGGAGAUCAAAGCCGGGGUCGCAAGACCUGGCGCUUGAAGAGGGGCCCACGCCCGAUUAGCUAGUUGGUGAGGUAACGGCCCACCAAGGCGACGAUCGGUAGCCGGCCUAAGAGGGCGGACGGCCACCCUGGGACUGAGACACGGCCCAGACUCCUACGGGAGGCAGCAGUGGGGAAUUGUUCGCAAUGGGCGCAGGCCUGACGACGCAACGCCGCGUGGAGGAUGAAGAUCUUCGGGUCGUAAACUCCUGUCGAGCGGGACGAAUGAUUCGCGACCUAAUACGUCGCGGAAGUGACGGUACCGCUAGAGGAAGCCCCGGCUAACUCCGUGCCAGCAGCCGCGGUAAUACGGUGGGGGCAAGCG
This 490-nucleotide ribosomal RNA is filed under the name uncultured Acidobacteriaceae bacterium. Its description in RNAcentral is "bacterial SSU rRNA". It matches the Rfam family "Bacterial small subunit ribosomal RNA", at positions 70 to 540 of the family's 1533-position model. The record is from RNAcentral. Lineage: Bacteria; Pseudomonadati; Acidobacteriota; Terriglobia; Terriglobales; Acidobacteriaceae.